This 10480-nucleotide long non-coding RNA is filed under the name Phaseolus vulgaris (common bean). RNAcentral describes it as "long non-coding RNA (PVUL_LNC002674)". Lineage: Eukaryota; Viridiplantae; Streptophyta; Magnoliopsida; Fabales; Fabaceae. The record is from RNAcentral.
AGAUUCAAGAAUAGAAGCCUUCUUUUGGCUGCAUAAGAUAUGUAUCUGCUUUUUCAUGAAAACCAUAAUUGUCUCGGGGAACUCAAAUCCAAGCAGCCAUAGGUUCAGAGCUGUAGAUUUCAGGUACCGCAGGUCUUCUGAAGGUGGAGGACAUGCAAUUGCGAUUGCAUCAGAAGAUCCCCACAGAUCUGUUUUGUGUUCAUCCCAAUGUGAAUAAAAUGUUUUCAAUCGGGACUGAAAUGCAUUCAGAUCAAUAGAAUAUCCACUUCCUGCUGCACUGGCCUUUCCAUUGGAUGGUUGUGUACUCCCAUUUCGAUGGUCUGCCAUAGUUUGCUUUCACACUGGGAAAAAAUUAAGACACAGUAACAUCAGUUAGAAGUUGCCAUACAAUUGCUGAUGCAAAAUAGGUUUUAGUUCCUUUUCAGCCACUAGAAAAGUAGGUGUUUAAAGGAACAAGGAGUCCUAGUUAUCUCGAUCCCUUCCAUUGCUGGCUAUAUCUGAAGACUCAAGCAACUAAAAUUUAAAAUCCCAGGAUAUGAGUAAAUAAGCCAUAGAGUUGAAAUAAUUAAUUUUAAAUAUACAUAGAUCUUUGAAGAAUGUAAUAUAACGAUUACAAGUGCCAUCUGCUUCUACUGGGUUAAUAUAAACAAUGUGAAGAAACCAACAGCAUAAAAUCAAUAUAGAUGAUGAGGCAGAAUAAAUAAAACUAGCCACUGGAAAAUAUCAUAAAGAAUGGAAGCAAAUCAUGACAAAAAGGUAUUAUCAUUUCCCAAACAUGCACACUUUUGGAAAUAGCAACAAGCUGGAUAAUGUAGAUCUAAGCACCAUUUGAAACAUUGGAAUGUGAUAGCCAAAGAAUAACCAGAGUAUGAUAGCAACAAAAGAAGUUAGAAGAAGUCUAUCGAAAUCAUAAUCAUAUAGCAACUGAACUCCAAUUACAUUAUGCUCACAAAUAAUGUAUGAACAACCAUGGUUUUUUGCUUUUAUAAGCUUUCACUACAGCAACAGAUGCAACUAGAAAGAAAAAUAAUCGAGUAAGAUAAUAGCCAUAUAAUGAGACUCGACUCGAGCAAUGUUCAAUGAGCACAAUAAAGACUACCGAGCCUUCAUAUAACAGAAAAAUAGAGCACAAAAACAAUCUUAAUCUCAACAUCAGCUAACAAGCACAAACCCACAAAUAAGACAGUUGAAAUCAAUAAUAAGUAACUAAGUAUAACCCUUAAAUCCAGAAAGUUCGGGAACAAUGAAAGUAGCACGCAUAAAAUUGUCUCAGAUAUAACAUGAGCAAUAGCAUGUCAACAUUUACUUAAAACAAAUGAAAAUACAUAACAUAUGAAAGGGUGUAGCUUCAUUGGUUCUACAAUUUUGUAGCUCAAACUCAGUAUAAUAUCUACGGCCAUGUCAUUUUUGUUUUCAUGCUGUAUAUAUGAAGCAAAUCAGUAGAACAAGCUGGACUAAUACCCAAUAUUAGGCUCAAUCAUGCCAAAAGAACAUCUCAAUGUAACAAAUAAGAAAAUAGACCAACUGAGCAUUAACACAAACACGUAGAUUGCAAGUGCUUCGAGAAAAAAUAAACCACAAAUAUUUUUCAUCAAGAAUCUGAGCAAACAAGGCUUGACAAUAACAAGCAUAGUUCUGUUACAGUAAAAAACACGAUUCAAAGUAUAGUUCUAAGAAGAAAAAUCGAUAAAAAAAAGUGCUACGAUGAAUUGUCGAGACUUACGUAUAACUGCAAGAUGAAGAAAUCACAAAUUUUACUUAUUAACCCAAUAAUAACUCCAAGUAAUACAAAUUUUCAGUAGAGAAAAAACAAAGCAAAUCGUGCAAAAAAUGGCUCGCGCUUUCUACGAAGAAAUUAGAACUUCGUGGUUCUAAAACUACAGUGGAAGAAUGAAAGGCAAAAAAUAUACACAAAAACUGUAAAGAUCGUUACCUUUUCCGACACUUUGCCUCUUGUCUGCGGUGAGCGAAAACUCUUCGUACUUUUUGUUUUUCUUCAAUUUGGGGAUUCAAGAACCCGAAUAGGGGGCAAUGAAACUAUGUAGGGUUUGAAUAUCAUUCCAAUGCGCGCGCACAAACAUAUAUAUACUCUGUUCGGUGGGUCGGAGGGGAAACAGAGCAUCCACCAAAGAAUGCGAAGGAGAAGAGAGAAAAUCGAAAGGAGGGAAAUUAGGGUUCAUAUGGGAAGAAUAAUUAUAUUAUCAUAGAAAGUUGAGUUCCGCACAUCAGAGUAACAAAAAUGACAGUGAGAAAAUAUUUAAAAGAUAAUUUUGUACAAAAAUAUUACUUUAACACUCUUACAAAAAGUACUCCUACCAAACAACUAAUUUUAAAUUAAAAAUAAAUAAAUGUUUUUUAUCUUUUAGUGAUGUUAAAAUAAUGUAUUUUAUUUUUUAGUGGUGUCAAAUUAUUACCAUCUAAUUUUAUAUUUCAUAACAUUUUUAAUAAUAUACUACAGGAACACAAGCACGUGUAUCCGCAUUUCUUAUUUUUUCAUUUAUGUAUAUUUAUAUUUAAUAUUAAAAUUUGAAUAAAUAAUAUUAUUAUUUGCACAUUUAUCUUAACAAUAUAAGUUUAUAGUAUAUUAUAAAUAAAAAAUGACAUUAUCAUUAUUAUGUAAAAUUAUUAUAUUUUGUGUGAAUUGGCUUAACCAGUAAUUGAUCAUCAUUCUAAGUGUUUUAUUCUUUACAAAUUUUAUUUCCUAAGAAUGUCACACACAUUAACCACUUUUGCAAUUCAAAACCGUUCAUCUUCUCCGGUAUUUCCACUAAUAUUUUUCUUUCUCUCAAAUUUGAAGAGACAUUCUUCUUUCUAUGCAACUCUUUGAAAAGUAACCACUUUUUCAAUCCAAAACCAUCUCCAACCUCUAUUUCAAUUUAAAAUUGUUCCUCCACAUAUAUUACAUAUUUUAGAGAAAGUAAGAAAUGACAACAAUGUCCAUAAUAUAAUCAAAUAUUUAUAUAAGGAUAAAAUAGGGAAAAAAUUAAGAGCUGUUAAAGAGAAGAAUCCCUUUAUAUAUAGGUAUAUAUAUAUUUAAUUAAAUAUGUUUAAAAUAAUUAAAUAAUUAUAUUUUUUAUCACAAUAAAUCAAAUGUAAUAUUAUUUUAAUAAUGUGAUUCUUAAUGAGUAAAGAAAUUGAAGUUAUUAAUUUAUAAAAUAAACUAAACAUCUCUAUUGGAAAAAAUAAAAUAAAAUGUAUACAUUAAAGAAAUAUGAAAAACAAAAUAAGAUAAAUAAAAGAGAUGAAAUAUGAAGAAAAUUAGCAAUACACAUUUCAGAAUCUAAAGAGGAACAGUAGUACACUGUUUCAGAAUCUCAAAAUUAGAAUUUUGAGGAGGCGGGAGGCAUAGUGGCAGCCAAGGAAGACUGUGUGCGCUUGCAUUUAGAUGUUGGAAGGGUCAACAAUGAAGGCGUUUGCUCACGCUGAGCAUCACAGCUUGAAACUUCUCGAUUUCUUCUUCUCUAUCUCCUUCUUCCUCUUGUGCUUGAGAAAUAUGAAAGAAAACACACCAAAAUUGAAUUUGUUGAAAGAAUACCAAAAUUGAAUUUGCGCGAGACUCUGUAGAAAGAAUAUCAAAUAACAUCAAACAAUAGUUUGUAAGAUGUUUCUAUAUUCUUCCUCUCUCAUAGUUUUCUUAUAUAUAAUUUUUUUUGCCUAAAAAAAGUAACCGUGCAUAAACCCACGUUUCACCCAUCUCUCUCCACUCUUCUCUAAUAAAAGUAUCAAUCUCUCCACCAUCAUGCCCAUUAAGUGAGAACAAAUAAAAUAAAAUUUUAAAAUUAAAAAUUGCUUAUUUAAUAAAGAAGAAUAUUAGUUUUAAAACAGAAAAGUAACCAAUUUCUCCACUCACCUGCCAUGAGAACAAAUAAAAUAAAAUUAAAAAAUGCUUAUUUAAUAAAGAAGAAUAUUAGUUUAAAACAGAAAAGUAACCCAUUUCUCUCCACUUUCCUGUCAGUUAAGUAGUGAGAACAAAUAAAAUAAAAUUAAAAAACUGUUUUAUUAACUUCUAAAAUUAUAAAAUGUUUAAAUAACCAAAAUAAAUUGAUAAAACAAAAUAUUAAGUAAAGAUAAAAUAGGAAAACAAUUUAGAGCAGUUAAAGUGGAAAAUCCAAAAUGUCCAAAUAACCAAAAUAAAUUGAUAAAACAAAAUAUUAAGCAAGGAUAAAGUAGGAAAACAAUUUUUAGCAAUUAAAGUGGGGAAUCCCCUUUAUAUAUAGGUAUAGAUAUAGUAAAUUUAAAAAUUAUAUUUUUAUAACUAAAUAAAUAAUAUAUAAUAUAAUAUUUAUGUUUAAGUUUCGACUAUAUAAAAAAUAAUAAUUUUUAACGAGUUUCUUUAUUAAAAAAUAAUAGAUUUUUACCUUGGUAUGUUUUAAAGGAAAAUUUCAAUAUUAUGGUGAGAAAACAUAUCCAUUUUGAAAUGUCUAUUUUUUUUAUGGAGAAAAAAAAAACAUAUUGAUAGACUAGCCCGUGUUAUAUAUAGGAUGAAUUAACCUACUUUUAUGUUAACAUAUCUACUUACUAAUGUUUAUACAUAUAUACACACUUGAUUUUGAUUAAUAUUUUUGAAUUCUUUAAUUUAUCAUUACAAAAAAAAAUUAAGAGAUUGUGAAAACUUUCAUUAAUACACAUACUUAAUUGGGGAUUUUGAAACCCCAAGUCUUUACACUUUUACUAAUGUAAUAUUUUUCUUUCAUUCCUUGUUUUUUAUUUUCCCGUAUUUUGUUCUUUUGUGAGACACGCUCCUUUUCAUAUAUUAUUUUUUAUAGAUUAAAACUUUCUCAACCUUAAAAAAUCAUGUUCAGCUCUCUCACGUUUUUUACACAUCCCUCAUAUUUAACUUCUCCCCCGUUCUUUCCUCUGAAUUGAAGCUUCAUUUCUCACUAUGUUUUCGCCCUAGAAAAUCAUCUUCAAUUUCUCUAUUUUUCCCUAAAUUGAAGCUUCAUUUCUCACUAUGUUUUCACCCUAGAAAAUCAUCUUCAAUUUCUUUAUUUUUCCCUAAAUUGAAGCUUCAUUUUUCACUAUUUUUUCGCCCUAGAAAAUCAUCUUCAACUUCUUCGUCCUUCCCUAAAUUGAAGUUUCAUUUUUCACUCUGUUUUCGCCCUAAAAAAUCAUCUUCAACUUCUUUGUUCUUCCCUCUGUAUUGAAACUUCAUUUUUCACUCUGUUUUUGUUAUAUUUGAUAUUCGUGUUCGUUUUUCUCUAUUUGAUUUCUCAAAUUUGGUUUUCACUUUCUACAUUUCUCAUUUCUAGAACUGCAGUGUAUUUUGCACGUUCGUGCCUCAGGUUUCUACUCAAGUACCGAAUACCAACUCUUAGAACAUUAGUCUCAAGAACGUUCUUCUCUCAUUGUAGUAAUUUUUAGUUUUUUUAGUGGAUGAUAGUAUUCUUAAUGAAUAAAAGGAGAUAAUUACUAUUUUUAUAUGUUAAAUUAUUUUAUAAAAAUAAUAAUUGAAAUUUAAUAUGUAAAGAUUGAUAGUUUAAAUAAUAAUAAUAAUAAUAAUAGUAAUAUUUUUAUUCUUGAACAGUACAACAUAAAAUUUGUAAUAAUUUUUAUUAUAUUUCAAUUUAUAUUAAUUUUAUAAAUCAAUUUUAUUAUUUAUACAUAUAAUAUUAAAUUCAAUAAAAAAAAGUUUGACUAGUGUGUUGAAAAUGAGAGAACAAUCCACCCUGCCACUCAUAAAUUUAUUAGAAUUUUUUUUAUUAAAAAAUGUACUAUUUCCUCAAACAAAUAUAUUUUUUGUUGACCCGCAUAUUAAACAUAUAUCAUUUGGUUCAAAUUAACUAUAUACUAAACUGAUUUGCCAAAUUUUUUUCACUGAAUUAGUCGUUUAUUCCAAUUUUCAAAACUAAUAUAUGCUUUAAAAGGGAAAAAAUAAUUUCACAUAUUUUAAUUUCAUAUACAAUAGUUUUAUUUAUUUAUUGUAUUCAUUGUGUAUUUUGUAAGUCAUGUUUAUUAGUGAUUUUUUAAUCAUGUUUACAUCAAAUUAUUUAUUUUUAUUGAUUAACAAUAUAAAUUUAUAUAUAGGGGAAUGAGGAAGAUAAUAUUCAUUAAAAUUUAUAAAACUCUUCUAUCUCGUAUAUGUUUAUAUAUAAAUCUAAAAUCUAUUUUUAAGGUUUUUUUAUAUAUCUAAGAUUCUUAUCUUGUUCCUCAACAUUUUAAGAUCAAAUCUCAUCUUUUCUUUUUUUAGUUCAUUAUUUUUCAUAUCUAUAACAUGCACAUAUUUUUUUAAUCAUUUUUAAGAUCAAACUCUACUUUGCAGUAAUUAUCAAAAUUAGGGUAUUUUAUACUCUAUCAAAAUCUAAAUUAGAGUGUUUUAUUGCUUUAAAAGUCUUUUGAUUUUUCCUUUUGUUUAUGUUAAAACUUUAUCAUGGAGUAGUUAGUUGGGAAAAAUGACUCUAAUUUCAACUAGUUUAAUCAUUGUCUGAAGUUUUUUUUUUUAUAAUUGUAUUGUUUAAUAUGUUCAUUGAUGUACAACCUUAAGGAUCUGACAUUUUUUUAGAUGAUUUUGAAAAUGUUGAAUAAUUAUUUUUGUAUUGAUUUGAUGGAAAAAGUUGCAUGUUAACAUAGGUUAAUAGCAUUUCUCUGAAUAUCAAUAAAUUAUAAAAGUUAAGCUCUUUGAAUAUCCUUUUGGAUCUCUACUAACUUUCAAGAUGCUAAACCCGUGUGGGUUGCUCUCUUUAGAUAUGCCUCUAAUGAUCUUCUUUAUACCAUAAUUUUUUGGCAUCUUCAAAAUAAGUGUUGCAUCAACACCUUACGUAUAUAUUUUCUUGCCACCAUUUUCACAAUAACACCCAUCCAUCUAAACGUUAUUCACUUUAUUCUCAUUUUAUGCUUUUAAAAUCCAACAAUCCCUGUCAUAAAAAACUAAUUAGCUAAUUGCUUUGCAAUCUUAAAAAAACCUCAAUGCAUUUCAUUUUCUAUGCAUUUCAUAAAUAUCUAAUCUUUUUAAUAAAAUUGAGACCCAUAUACUUUACCUUGCUCCAACACAAUAUUAACCAAACAUGACCAGAUAUAAAACAUUAUACGAGGUUGGUUUGGAUACGGUGGUAUGUAUAACUGGUUCAUUCACGGUUGUUCAGUUGCCUGAUCGCUACAGAAAAAAGUUAAAUUUAACAAUAAGGAACAAAAUUAGAAAGGCAUUGAGGACUUCAAUUGAAUUCAAGGAUUGCAAUCGAGUAGCUGAACUAUAACUUGGAAGAAAAAUAUUUAGUUACAAUGAUAAGGCAGCUCCAAGUCCAAACACAAGCUGCUAUGCUAACCGAAGCAACGGCGUAAAACAAACUGAACUAAACCUUAAACCGGCUAACAACAAAACCCAAGAAUCUAUCUUAACUUAGCCCGCUUUGGCAUGCUACUGCUUAGACUAGUUCCUCUUGACUUACCGAAGCUUUUUGCCUUUCUUCUUUUUCUAUCUUCUUCGCUGUCAGACUCAUUUCCUUUUUCCCUGUCUGCAUUGCUCGCUUCCCUCUCCAGUUCCUCCCACGUCUUUCCCUUCUCUUCCUCUGAGUCAUCCUCAGAAUCCUCAUCUUCGUCAUCAUCCUCAGACUCAACAAGUGAUUCACUGUCAGAGGCUUCAUCCUCAGAAUCAGAUUCGGGUUCAACAUCAGAAGGUUCAUAACCUUUGUCUGACUCCUCUGAGUUCUCAGAUUCCGAAUCAGUGGCCUCCAAAUUCAGAAACUCCCAACCACCUCCUUCAAUAAAGCUCUGAGGGUCAUCCGUGAUUNNNNNNNNNNNNNNNNNNNNNNNNNNNNNNNNNNNNNNNNNNNNNNNNNNNNNNNNNNNNNNNNNNNNNNNNNNNNNNNNNNNNNNNNNNNNNNNNNNNNNNNNNNNNNNNNNNNNNNNNNNNNNNNNNNNNNNNNNNNNNNNNNNNNNNNNNNNNNNNNNNNNNNNNNNCCCAAGCCCAACUCUCUCAAGAUUCACAAUCUCAAUCUCACCUAGCGUGACAACGAGGAAAGGGGUCUCUAUAAGUUCAACAAGGCAGGCUGAAGUCGGAACAAUAAACACUGAAGAUUUAUGAGGAACCCCAGGGAAGCCAAGCUCCCUAAGAGGUUGAUCAAACUCCAAUUCAAGCCCAUUGAAUUGGGCCUGACCCCAGAGAUCAUUCACCCUAUUCACAAAGGUUUGGAAUUCUACAUUUAUCUUGUUCUUCCUAUCUCGCUCUCGUUGUUCUUCUUCAAGCUCAUCAGGGUCAUAGGCUGAUCUCUUACCACCUCCAACAUUCUGGACCAUGUCCAUAACCUCAACAUAAAACUGAACAUCCUUGGUCUUCUUAUUUCCUACCAUAAUAUGGUUGUGCAGAUGGAAGUGCAGGAGCGUGAUCAUCUCAUUCUCUGCUGGCUGGAAAAAUGCAUGCUUAAUGUUGCCGAACAGUAUGUCUCCACGCUCAUCUUGCCUGGUGGUAGAAUAACGAAAUCCAUUCACAUGAGCCUCAAGCGUACCAGGUAUCUUCCUUCCACGACCACCAAAAGCAGGACGGAUCCAGAGAUCAGACAACCGUAUUGGCUUGAAUCUAUUAUUAGCAAGUUGCAGUUUCUCCUGAGUAACCAGGGUUGCCCUCUCUGCUCUCUCAGACUCCCUUGCUACAACUUGUCGCCUGAGGGUUUUAAUUGACUGCACAACCUCACUAAUGUGCCUUGAGUCCUUCGAGCGGAAUGAAGCCUCCUUUAAAUAUAUAGAUCCAGGGAACUUCAUUGAGUUUGCAUCAUGAGGACUGAAAGGGGUGCCAGGGACAUUAAAAAUAAUUCUGACAUAGCAGUUGCGGUUAGUGUCCUGCUGGCUCGAAACAGUUCUAAUGAAAGCCACAUGAAAAGGCACCAUGCUUCCAUUUAUAGGCAAGAGAACUGCUUCAUUCUUCUGAUCAAUCUGAAUCAUCAUUUCUCUGGGAGGGGGAAGGUCAUUNNNNNNNNNNNNNNNNNNNNNNNNNNNNNNNNNNNNNNNNNNNNNNNNNNNNNNNNNNNNNNNNNNNNNNNNNNNNNNNNNNNNNNNNNNNNNNNNNNNNNNNNNNNNNNGAGCAAGUUCUGCCUGGUGCUGCCUUCGAAGCUCCUCCUUUGAAAUCUCAUGAUUGUCUGACCUUAGAGUUGUCUUAGUAAAGGGCUCCGCUCCCUUGGCAUCCACUUUUGUCCUUGGCCUUUCCUCUUCCUCAUCCUCAUUGAAAGAGUAUGCUACAUCCUUGAGUGCUUUUGAACUCAUAGAAGUCACAACUUCUGUCUUAUCUUUGUUGAUGAUGACUGUGUCAGCAAGCAACAGGGAGAAAUGCCUGUUCUUGGGCUUACUUUUCUCACUUUGCAAAUUCUGAAAACCAAUUGACACAUUAAAGACCAUGCCUUCUCGAAUUAUCUGUUCAUUUUUUGCAUUCAGAUUCAAUCCUGAUUCACGAAACUCAAUGCCGAUGCCUGUCCCAGCAGAUUUUGUCAAAUAUGAAACCAAGUCCGGAGCAUCCCUUUCCACAACAGAGACUGCAGCUUGGUACGCCACACUUAACUUGUUUCCUGGCUUCAUAGAGCCUAUGACAGCUUCAUGGGCUUUCAGAAGAACCCCAUAUGCUCUACUUUGAAGAGGUUCUGCAUCAAUCAAGAAGGUCCUAGCUAUGUUUGAGCAAUAACUCUUAUAUCGGGCUCCAACUGCACAUAUAAUCACACUGGCUGAAUCGUAAUGCAGUAACUCAUCAUUGCUGACAGCACUUGGUCUGAGAUCAAACUCUCCACCACUCUGAAAAAUUGGUGGGUAACAAAUAUCAACAUUAUCUGCCUUUAGCUUACAAUUGACUUUUGAAGGUUCCAGAAUAACUUUCUCAGUCUCCUCCAUCAAUGUUGAAUGAGAGACUUUCUUCUCCUCAUCGAUUACAUUCUCAAGUUUUGUAACCACAAAGUUUUUCAUCACACUGGUUGUCAGGUAAGCUGCUCUCUUAAUUGAUGUGAGUUCCUCAUUACUCUUUGCUGCAAAUAAAGAAGACAAACCAGUGGCAACAUCAAUGAGAUUAAAUUUAGUAUUUUUUAAUUUUUCAGUCCAUGUUUCAAGCAGUUUCCCUUCAGGGGCCUCUCUUGAUAUGUAUCCAACAGUGGCAGAAUCGUGGUCAUCAGACUUUGGCUGAGCACGGAUGGAACGGAAUAUAGCAUCCAUGAGAGCAGUGCCAUCAUCGUUUUUAGGUUUGACAUGUAGAACAAGAUCUGCCCCAACAGCCUCUCUGGCAGAUUUUUUGACAGAUUCAAGAAUAGAAGCCUUUUUUUGGCUGCAUAAGAUAUGUAUCUGCUUCUUCAUGAAAACCAUAAUUGUCUCGGGGAACUCAAAUCCAAGCAGCCACAAGUUCAGAGCAGUAGAUUUCAGGUACCGCAGAUCUUCCGAAGGUGGAGGACAUGCAAUUGCUAUUGCAUCAGAAGAGCCCCACAGAUCUGUUUUGUGUUCAUCCCAAUGAGAAUAAAAAGUUUUCAAUCGGGAUUGAAAUGCAUUCAGAUCAAUAGAAUAUCCACUUCCUGCUGCACUC